AUGCAUUCUUUGCAGUCACGAUCUUUACUGUCUAGCUUUAUUUUGACUGUGCCUGCUUUAGUAGUAGGACAAAAUUCAGCAUUUAGGCACCAGGGAAAGGAUAAGAGAGAUAGGCAAGAAGGAAGGUGCAAUGCCGUGCUGUGCGGAGCCAUCCCCGACGCCCCGGGAAAUCAGAACAAGGAGAUUCCCUGGAUGCGAAAAGAACUCAGUUAAGGAGAUGUCAGCUGGGGAGAUUCGGAUGAUGGUGCAUAGUCGCGGUGUCUGCCAGAGGCAAAGGACAAACUGCAUCCAAAAUGGACAUGUUGGAGAGACUGGGCUCUAAGGAGCUAGAUAUUCAUGUGUCCUGCCACACUAUACAGACUCCUGGAUGUGAAAGAGCUGGUCCACCCUCUCCUCUGAAGGGUUGCAGCCCAGGUGUGGCCUGCAGUCUCCCCAGCUGAGGCUCCAGCUCUCCCCUUCACGUGUCUUCAUUUCACAUGUACCAUUUCCCUGUGCUGAGCCCAGAUGCCGGAAACAACAAAGGAAGAAUGUGGAGGUUUUGAGUUAGGGCAGCGUGGAUAAUGGGGGAAGUCUGGUGUCCCCACGAUGACGUCACCAAGGAUCUGGGGAGGAAAUCCUUGAAGUGUCUAUUUCUUCCUUUGUGACUCCGGUAAUGGGCUAUGAGAAGCAAGGUCCUCACCUCAGUGUUUCAUCACUCACCAAGCAGUAUGAGUGGGUGACUGAAGAUAAGGUUGAAUCGUCAUUGUGACAUCUGUUUCUCCUGAGAGUGCAGAAGGACAGCCUUGAUUUUGAUGAAGAAGACAGUCUGGAAGUCUUUCUAAUUGCUUUCUUUGGAAGGGAGAAAAGGAACAACUCUAGCAGAUGAAGUGAGAUGGCUUCUGGGAAUAAUAUUUGCCUCCCCAGAUUAUGCCUGAUUUAUGGUUUUGCAUCACAGAGUGCUAGGGCUCUACCUCCACCUCUCUAUGAAAGCCUUUCUCUCCAUCCCCACGGAUAUAUUGUUUUAAGUCAAGCAAGCGUCUUUUCUCAUAAGGACUAUUACAGCAGCCUCCUGUUUCAACCACUGCCCUCCCGGCUCCAUGAGAUACUGUGAACAAUUUUUCUAAAAGACAAAACUGAUCGCGACAGCCACUGAAGGAAACUCUACCAUGGUUCCCCAUCUCCCUGUUCAGGAUGAAGGCUAUUUGCACCCACGUGACAGCACAGGGAGGGCUAAUGACACACUACUCAGCAUGAGGUUUCAUUUCUACUGCUGCCUCCUCAGAGAAGCACAGCUACCCUGAUGACUUUAUCAGGAGGAGGACCCAGUCACUUCCACCUGGACCUUUACAGCUCCUCUGCACACCUGUGAUUAAUUGCGUUACUCAUUUAUUAGUUCAUUUGUUUACUGGCUACUCCCCACUGAAGUGGACAAAGAGGGGACCUGCCUUGCUAAGGGCUGUAUCAUUAAUUUCCAUAACAUCUGGCACCCAGUAGACGUGCCAUGACCAGAGGGUGAGUGGGAGACAAUUACAAAUGUAACUGUAAGUGCCAAAGACGUAUGAAAAAGCAAAAAUGUACCCAUGUCUCCAAAUUUGCUGAUAUAAUUUUGGUGCAGAUCCCUUGGAAAUCCUUCUUACAAUGAUGCUUUUCUCACAAAGAUGAAGACAUACUAUAUAUGAUGUUUUGUAAUUAAAACAAAUAGAAUUAGGUUGUGAACACCAUUAUCCGAUGAACCAUAUGCUGGUAAUAAUAUAGUAGUAAUUGUUUAUUUCUAUUGAUGUACACGUCACAUUUUGUACAUUGCACGUUAAUAGUAUUCUUAAUGGUGGCCUUGUGUUGUAUUACAUUGGUGCAUCAUAAUUUAAAGUACAGGUAGUCUAUUUUCGAUGUUUACUCUCUGCUCCCACAAUUUUGGAAUUUAUAACAAUAUUUCAUGAACAAACUUACCUAAGCGCACAUUUCUAGAUUUUACCUAGCAUAUAUACCUAAAAGUAUGUGUAUAAUAACUGGAAUAUUUUGUAUUGGAUUUUUACUUAUGAAAGUAACUAUUUGCAAGUGAUUUUUU
Molecule: long non-coding RNA, 2044 nt
Organism: Camelus dromedarius (Arabian camel)
Lineage: Eukaryota; Metazoa; Chordata; Mammalia; Artiodactyla; Camelidae
Exons: 7
Source: RefSeq, a predicted model, not a curated record